RNAcentral lists this transfer RNA (61 nucleotides) under Bolanusoides shaanxiensis. RNAcentral describes it as "tRNA-Arg". The record is from RNAcentral. Lineage: Eukaryota; Metazoa; Arthropoda; Insecta; Hemiptera; Cicadellidae.
ACAAAGAAGUAAAAAAUUUACAUUUAGUUUCGACCUAAUAAUAAGAUUAAAAUCUCAUGUU